Molecule: ribosomal RNA, 408 nt
Filed under: uncultured bacterium
Lineage: Bacteria
Description: partial 16S ribosomal RNA
Rfam family: Bacterial small subunit ribosomal RNA
Source: RNAcentral
GACGAACGCUGGCGGCGUGCUUAACACAUGCAAGUCGAACGAAGUGGCGAACGGGUGAGUAAUGCGUAAUUAACCUGCCCUUCAGAGGGGGACAACAGUUGGAAACGACUGCUAAUACCACAUACUGAAGGAGGGGAUGGCGUCUGAUUAGCUAGUUGGAGGGGUAACGGCCCACCAAGGCGAAGAUCAGUAGCCGGUCGGAGAGGAUUAACGGACACAAUGGGACUGGGACCAGGCCCAGACUCCUACGGGAGGCAAGAGUGGGGAAUCUUCCGCAAUGGACGAAAGUCUGACGGAGCAACGCCGCGUGAGUGAUGACGGCCUUCGGGUUGUAAAGCUCUGUUAAUCGGGACGCGGUACCGGAAUAGAAAGCCACGGCUAACUACGUGCCAGCAGCCGCGGUAAUUC